Molecule: ribosomal RNA, 810 nt
Filed under: uncultured organism
Description: SSU rRNA
Rfam family: Bacterial small subunit ribosomal RNA
Source: RNAcentral
UUGAGUACAGUAGAGGUGGGCGGAAUUCGUGGUGUAGCGGUGAAAUGCUUAGAUAUCACGAAGAACUCCGAUUGCGAAGGCAGCUCACUAGACUGUCACUGACACUGAUGCUCGAAAGUGUGGGUAUCAAACAGGAUUAGAUACCCUGGUAGUCCACACAGUAAACGAUGAAUACUCGCUGUUUGCGAUAUACAGUAAGCGGCCAAGCGAAAGCAUUAAGUAUUCCACCUGGGGAGUACGCCGGCAACGGUGAAACUCAAAGGAAUUGACGGGGGCCCGCACAAGCGGAGGAACAUGUGGUUUAAUUCGAUGAUACGCGAGGAACCUUACCCGGGCUUAAAUUGCAAAUGAAUAAUCUGGAAACAGGUUAGCCGCAAGGCAUUUGUGAAGGUGCUGCAUGGUUGUCGUCAGCUCGUGCCGUGAGGUGUCGGCUUAAGUGUCAUAACGAGCGCAACCCUUAUCUUUAGUUACUAACAGGUUAUGCUGAGGACUCUAGAGAGACUGCCGUCGUAAGAUGUGAGGAAGGUGGGGAUGACGUCAAAUCAGCACGGCCCUUACGUCCGGGGCUACACACGUGUUACAAUGGGGGGUACAGAAGGCAGCUACCUGGUGACAGGAUGCUAAUCCCAAAAACCUCUCUCAGUUCGGAUCGAAGUCUGCAACCCGACUUCGUGAAGCUGGAUUCGCUAGUAAUCGCGCAUCAGCCAUGGCGCGGUGAAUACGUUCCCGGGCCUUGUACACACCGCCCGUCAAGCCAUGAAAGCCGGGGGUACCUGAAGUACGUAACCGCAAGGAGCGUCCUAGGGUAAA